GCUCUCUCUGUUAGGGGGUUGGUAUUAUCAUCAUCUCUCUUAGGGGGUUGGUAUUAUCAUCAUCUCUCUCUUUUAGGGGGUUGGUAUUAUCAUCAUCUCUCUCUGUUAGGGGGUUGGUAUUAUCAUCAUCUCUCUCUGUUAGGUGGUUGGUAUUAUCAUCAUCUCUCUCUGUUAGGGGGUUGGUAUUAUCAUCUCUCUCUGUUAGGGGGUUGGUAUUAUCAUCAUCUCUCUCUGUUAGGGGGUUGGUAUUAUCAUCUCUCUCUCUGUUAGGGGGUUGGUAUCAUCAUCUCUCUCUGUUAGGGGGUUGGUAUCAUCAUCAUCUCUCUCUGUUAGGGGGUUGGUAUUAUAAUCAUCUCUCUCUCUCUGUUAGGGGGUUGGUAUUAUCAUCAUCUCUCUCUCUGUUAGGGGGUUGGUAUUAUCAUCAUCUCUCUCUCUGUUAGGGGGAUGGUAUUAUCAUCAUCUCUCUCUCUGUUAGGGGGUUGGUAUUAUCAUCAUCUCUCUCUGUUAGGGGGUUGGUAUUAUCAUCAUCUCUCUCUCUGUUAGGGGAUGGUAUUAUCAUCAUCUCUCUCUCUGUUAG
Molecule: long non-coding RNA, 577 nt
Filed under: Salmo salar (Atlantic salmon)
Lineage: Eukaryota; Metazoa; Chordata; Actinopteri; Salmoniformes; Salmonidae
Description: lncRNA (ENSSSAG00000091690.1)
Source: RNAcentral